AAUCAACGCUGGCGGCGUGCCUCAGACAUGCAAGUCGAACGCGAAAGGUUCCUUCGGGAGCCGAGUAGAGUGGCGCUCGGGUGAGUAACACGUAGGUAAUUUGCCUUUGGGUGGGGAAUAACAAUCGGAAACGGUUGUUAAUACCGCAUAAUGCAGCGGCUCGACAUCGAGACAGUUGUUAAAGCGGGGGAUCCUUCGGGACCUCGCGCCUAAAGAGAAGCCUGCGGCGGAUUAGCUAGNGGUGAGGUAAUGGCUCACCAAGGCGACGAUCCGUAACCGGCCUGAGAGGGCGGACGGUCACACUGACACUUAAAUACGGGUCAGACUCCUACGGGAGGCAGCAGUCGGGAAUUUUGGGCAAUGGGCGAAAGCCUGACCCAGCAACGCCGCGUGAA
This 395-nucleotide ribosomal RNA is filed under the name uncultured bacterium. RNAcentral describes it as "bacterial SSU rRNA". It matches the Rfam family "Bacterial small subunit ribosomal RNA", at positions 32 to 405 of the family's 1533-position model. The record is from RNAcentral.